RNAcentral lists this ribosomal RNA (449 nucleotides) under uncultured bacterium. RNAcentral's name for it is "partial 16S ribosomal RNA". It matches the Rfam family "Bacterial small subunit ribosomal RNA", at positions 29 to 523 of the family's 1533-position model. The record is from RNAcentral.
AACGAACGCUGGCGGCAGGCUUAACACAUGCAAGUCGAACGCAUCCUUCGGGGUGAGUGGCAGAUGGGUGAGUAACGCGUGGGAACGUGCCCUUCAGUUCGGGAUAACCCAGGGAAACUUGGGCUAAUACCGGAUACGUGCGAGAGCAGAAAGAUUUAUCGCUGAAGGAUCGGCCCGCGUCUGAUUAGGUAGUUGGUGGGGUAAUGGCCCACCAAGGCGACGAUCAGUAGCUGGUCUGAGAGGAUGAUCAGCCACAUUGGGACUGAGACACGGCCCAAACUCCGAUGGGAGGCAGCGGUGGGGAAUAUUGGAUGAUGGGCGCAAGCCUGAUCCAGCCAUGCCGCGUGAGUGAUGAAGGCCUUAGGGUUGUAAAGCUCUUUCGUCCGGGAAGAUAAUGACGGUACCGGAAGAAGAAGCCCCGGCUAACUUCGUGCCAGCAGCCGCCGUAA